CGCAGAGUAGAGAAACGGUAUCUCGGAUGGCUCAUAACCAUCAGGGAGUGGGUUCAACUCCCACCUCUGCAACCA
This 75-nucleotide transfer RNA is filed under the name Rhizobium sp. Root1203. RNAcentral describes it as "tRNA-Met". It matches the Rfam family "tRNA". From Rfam's summary of the family: Transfer RNA (tRNA) molecules are approximately 80 nucleotides in length. Their secondary structure includes four short double-helical elements and three loops (D, anti-codon, and T loops). The record is from RNAcentral. Lineage: Bacteria; Pseudomonadati; Pseudomonadota; Alphaproteobacteria; Hyphomicrobiales; Rhizobiaceae.